Molecule: long non-coding RNA, 1695 nt
Organism: Vigna radiata var. radiata (mung bean)
Lineage: Eukaryota; Viridiplantae; Streptophyta; Magnoliopsida; Fabales; Fabaceae
Exons: 3
Source: RefSeq, a predicted model, not a curated record
UCUCACUCACGCAACUACCCUCCCUGCUCCCUGACUCUCGCUUACUGGCUUAACGGCUUCCCAUCACUCUCGCUCGCAGUUGCCUCUCUUCCCCCUCACCCGUAACUGCCUCCCCUUACUCUCGCUCACUCUCGCUCUACAACUACAAUAAGCUUUCAAUUUUCUUUUUCCUUCCAAUGCCCUAACCUGCCAUGGGUGUUGGAUUAGAGCUCCAUGGUUUCAGUUUUGUUCUUCCUUAUAGUGCCCUAAUCUGCAAUGGGUGAUCGAAGCUUCAGGUUUCAGUUUUCUUCCUCAUUACAGUGCCCUGUACACUAGUUUUUUGCGAAACCUCCGACAUUUGUCAACCAUUAUGCUAGGGAAAUUUGAUUAAAAAAAGUACGUAUGUAGGAAGAGCAACACUUUUGUUUGUAGCCAUGUCCAACUCUUAUUCUCACAAGCGGACCAAAGAAGAAAAAGAAGCAGGUUCAUUACGUAUGCCUAGUCAUGGGUUUUAUUAAGCUUGGUCAUUUAUAUCAACAAAUUAUCCUUUUGUUAUUGAUUUCAUUAAAUUUAUUUUAUUUUAUGUCAACUUUUGCUUCACUAAAUCAACUCACAACCUACUUCAUCUGCUCAUAAUAUCAGUAGUUCACUUAAUUAUUUAUGCCCAUUGCUGGUGAUGCAGUGCUAAUUCAUUUCUACAUGCAUGUUUCAGUGAUUGCAUAUUUGUUGAAUAUCGCAUUUUCAAUUUACACACCUGUACAUUAUUGCAGUAUUGAUAAUUUUUUCUUAAUUUUAAAUAAAAGGCAAGGAAAUAUUGAAAUUCUUUUGAAACCCUAUAAUGAUUCUCUGCCUCUGUUAUUUCUCUGCUUCACACGAACUUAAUUAGUAGUUGAUGGCUGAAGAUUUUUCAAUUUUCAUAUUGGUGGUUGGAAUUAAUCUUCUUUGGAAUAGUGUAGUUGACUUAUCGAAAGAAGGAAAAGCCAAAUAUCGAAGUUCAUAAUAUUCUCUUUGAUAUCAAAGUUUUAAGCCAAUAGAAAAGCAAUAACUUGACUUUUCCAAUUGCUUGCUUUCUGGUUUAUAGGGAAGUUUAUUCUUUUCUAUGUGUUUAGAAGUUUGGUUGUUAGAUGGUGGCUACUGACUGUUACAUGUAAUAGGAACUUAAAAGUCGGCUUGAAUAGCAUUUAGUAGUCAUUUAUAAUGUAUGCCAAGUUCUCCACUNGAAUGAAUGAAAGGACAUAUAAAGAGCAGAGAUGAANUAAGGUGGACUACCUCUAUUUGCUCAAGAAUCAUGGUGCCUUAACAUUUGGCCUUUCACCAUUCUUUAAGGGGAAAAAUAUAAAAAGUAGUUCAAAGAUGCAGCUGCCAUGGAACUUAAGGUCACUGAGUAGCCUACAAUAUUGGACAAGUGUCAAAGGAAGGGUAAGAAUUGAGAAACACUAUGAACAAAUUGAAUAAUCCUGCAACUCUGCUAGCUUUAUGUUGGUAUUAGGCUAUAGACGGCAUAAGAUCUAAGGUGGGAAUUGUGAUAUUUACAUAAAUGACUUACAAGUUUUGCUAAUUUGUGUUCACCUUAUUGAUAUGCUUUCUGUUUUAUUUCAUUGGCCUUACCUUCAAGAAGAAUAGCACAACUUUAUGUUGAGAUUGUAACAAGGUGUAGGGAUAAGUACCUGAAUCUGAUGGAGAAUGGAGGAGUACCUAAAUCUGCAGAUCCGUCAA